GAAAAAUGGACAAUUUGCUUUUGUCUUAAAGCUUGCUUGAAAAUACUAGUUUUGCCCAAGGCUGACCUGUGUUUAUUUUUACAAGCUAUUGUGUAUGAGGUUUUACUGGACAGUUAUUUUGUUUUCAAAUCUUAAGCCUAUGCAUUAGAAGCACUGAAUAGUAGGAACUGAUUCAUUUUAGACAAAAAAAAAAAAUCCAGAAGCAUGAACUAUUUCAUCAUUGUCACCCUUGAUGGGCCUGGAAGUUAGAACUUUGCUAGAGCCCCUUCGUGAUAAAUGCUGAUUAUCAUCUGAGGAAACUAUUUAAUAUCAACAUAAGAUAUACAACCUAUUAUAAGGAGGGGAGGUCGUCUUUUCCAGCAUUCUGUCUUGGAACUAUCAUAUGCUUUCCUGGUUGUUUAAAAGAUAUGGAAAGAAAUUUGUUCUUAUCAGGAAAUUGUCAUAAUUUCAGUGACUGAUCUAUACAUCCCCCUUCUUUCACUAUUUUACACAAUCCACAUUAAAAGAUCAUCUCUGAAAUACUGAACAUCUCUGUGGAGAGCUUAAUUACUGCUUCUGGAUCACUGGAAUUCUUAUAAAUAAGUUCACCUACUGAAGCAAUGAGUAUCUUUUUAGCUUAGGACUCUCUGCUACCAAAAAAUGGUUUCUUUCAUCUUAUGACAAACUGAGCUGUUCUUAUCAGUAGCUGUUUGCCAACAGCUAUGGGAGGUGGCACAAAUAGUUGAAGAACACAGCAAUAUUGAUUGCAAAAGCAAAGUGCGUCCCAAAGUUUUCACAACCUUCUUUUUUAUUCCAACCUACAUAACUGGGAAGCGAAGUUUCAUACUCACAGAGGGUUCAAAGCUUGAAGCUGACCACUGCAAAGGCCACUUGUCACAUUUACUGAAAAUCAGCCUAUUGAUAUCACAGCUGAAAAUAUAAACUCGACAACCAAAGCCCAUUGCACAACGUGGACUGCGUAAGAGUUAAAAAUAGAUUUGACGUGCCUCCUACCUGCAUAAUAAAUAUUCCAUCAAAAUCCUGAGCAGUAUUGACAAACCACACGAGCACAGGGUCUGACUGCAUGAUCAGCUGUCUGUGUCUACGCUACACCCUGUUAACCACAAGCAGUGUUAGAGCUAAAUAUAUCUGCA
Molecule: long non-coding RNA, 1133 nt
Organism: Harpia harpyja (harpy eagle)
Lineage: Eukaryota; Metazoa; Chordata; Aves; Accipitriformes; Accipitridae
Exons: 3
Source: RefSeq, a predicted model, not a curated record